CUUGGAGAUUCAAGCUACCAACCUUUCGGACUAGCACAAAGCUCUAACCGCUAGACUACCUGCCUCCCAUAGCAUAGCAAUAAUUCUGUACCUUUUCCAUAGUGGCAACAUUUGACAAGGUUUAUAGCACUCUAGAACAAAACAACAAGAACUACAAUCAACAACAACAAAAUAUAUAUAUAUGCUACACCAGGACUUCAGACAGUGAACUUACUCAGCCGAGUAAACAAACAGCACUCCUCAGAAUUUACAUUCAAUGCAAAGUGUGUUUGCUUUUCGUUUAUACUGUUCUUGGAGAUGCUUGUAUGAUCUUUUUCCAACAACUCCACAAGAUGGACACAGCACCAAAUAUGCACUCAAGAUGCAGACGGGGGUCUGAGGAAAGGGGUGUGGUUCUCCUAGAGGUGCUUCCUGCUUCCUCUAUGACACUUUCACAUAUCCUGUGUCCAAAAUGGCACCAUAUUUGGAUAAUGUUUCAGAUGCAGACUUUAACAGUGGAGAGUGCACAAGAAGGAAUGCUAGCCCAGUAGCUUGGUUACACUGAAUCAGUUACAAAGUAACUUUAAAAAAAAAAAUUCAAACCAACCAACCCGCUGGUACUAUAUGACAUUUUGUUAGCGCACUUCAUUUACGGCGAGUUGCAUAAAAGUAUGUUUAAGCUAUUGCCCUGUCCCCUUCCCUGUUAUUUGUGUGUCUUCGUAAUUAUUAUAAUUUUUUUCCUGGAAGCUAUGUGUCUGAAUAGACAUACAGGGCCUUCAGAAAGUAUUCAGACCCCUUAACUUUUUCAAAAUUUUGUUAGGUUACAGCCUCAUCCUAAAAUUGAUUAAAUCGUUUUUUUUCCCUCAUCAAUCUACACACAAUACCCCAUAAUGACAAAGCAAAAAUAGGUUUUUAGAACAUUUUGCAAAAAACCCCAGAAAUAUCACAUUUACAUAAGUAUUCAGACCCUUUACUCAGUACUUUGUUGAAGCACCUUUGGCAGCAAUUACAGCCUUGAGUCUUCUUGGGUAUGACGCUACAAGCUUGGCACACCUGUAUUUAGGGAGUUUCACCCAUUCUCUGCAGAUCCUCUCAGGCUCUUUCAGGUCGGAUGGGGAGCAUUGCUGCACAGCUAUUUUCAGUUCUCCAGAUAUGUUCCAUCGGGUUCAAGUCCGGGCUCAGGCUAGGCCACUCAAGGACAUUCAGAGACUUGUCCCGAAGCCACUCCUGCGUUGUCUUGGCUGUGUGCUUAGGGUUGUUGUCCUGUUGGAAGGUGAACCUUAACCGCAGUCUGAGGUUCUGAGCGCUCUGGAGCAGGUUUUCAUCAAGGAUCUCUCUGUACUUUGCUCCGUUCAUCUUUGUCUCAAUCUUGACUAGUCUCCCAGUCUUUGCCGCAGAAAAUCACCCCCACAGCAUGAUGCUGCCACCACUGUGCUUCACCGUAGGGAUGGUGCCAGGUUUCCUCCAGACGUGAUGCUUGCCAUUCUGGCCAAAGAUUUGAAUCUUGGAUUCAUCAGACCAGAGAAUCUUGUUUCUCAUGGUCUGAGAAUCUUUAGGUGCCUUUUGACAAACUCCAAGCGGGCUGUCAUGUGCAUUUUACUGAGGAGUGGCAUCCGUCUGGCCACUCUACCAUAAAGGCCUGAAUAGUGGAGUGCUGCAGAAAUGGUUGUCCUUCUGGAAGGUUCUCCCAUCUCCACAGAGGAACUCUAGAGCUCUGUCAGAGUGACCAUCAGGUUCUUGGUCACUUCACUGACCAAGGCCCUUCUCACUUGAUUGCUCAGUUUAGCCGGGCGGCCAGCUCUAGGAAGAGUCUUGGCGGUUCCAAACUUCUUCCAUUUAAGAAUAAUGGAGGCCACUGUGUUCUUGGGGACCUUCAAUGCUGCAGAAAUUUCUUGGUACCCUUCCCCAGAUCUGUGCCUUGACACAAUCCUGUCUCGGAGCUCUACGGACAAUUCCUUCGACCUCAUGGCUUGGUUUUUGCUCUGACAUGCACUGUCAACUGUGGGAUCUUACAUAGACAGGUGUGUGCCUUUCCAAAUCAUGUCCAAUCAAUGUAAUUUACCACAGGUGGACUCCAAUCAAGUUGUAGAAACAUCUCACGGCUGAUCAAUGGAAACAGGAUGCAUCUGAGCUCAAUUUCGAGUCUCAUAGCAAAGGUUCUGAAUACUUAAGUACAUUUAUUUUUAAAACAUUAGCUACAAUUCUAAAAACCUUGUUUCGCUUUGUCAUUAUUGGGUAUUGUGUGUAGAUUUCUGAAAAAAUAGUUGUAUUUAAUCCAUUUUAGAAUAAGGCUAUAACGUAACAAAAUGUGGAAGCAGUCAAGGGAUCUGAAUCCUUUCCGAAGGCACUGUAUGUACUGUACAUAAAACGAAGUAAAUAAAGAAGUAAUUUAUCUAAGAAAUAAUUGAAAGCUGAUCCAAACUACGUUUUAUUUUCUUAUAAAGGAUUCAGUGACUUUCCAAUAGUAGGGGAGAUUGGGGUAAGUCUAGGCAAUAUACACAAAAUUAAUAAUUUGAACAAAUAUUUAGGAAGAGGUAAUCAUUUCAUGGAGUCUGUGAAGGAAGAAACCACAUGGAAAAAGUGGUGAGCAAGUUACGUCCAAAAAACAGAUUUUCACCAAGUCAAAUGAAUUUAUUGAGCUAAACGUUUUAUGAUGCUUGUAUCUAAACCAAAGUACAUACUUUUAAGAUUGUUCUAUACAUAAUUUGGGGUCUCUAUAAGCUUCAAUAUGAGGUCUUUAACCUAGCAUAAAAGUGUGUCCUUGUAGCUGUGUUGGCUAAUAUAGUAAAAAUGUUGCCUUGGGGUAAGUUGAGCCAAUGGCAAGUUGAGGAUAUUGAAGUGUAAGGUGUAAUGCAAGGCAUUAUCGCCGGAAUAAGAGGCAACAACAGGGCCUAUGUUAAAAAAGUACAAAGUGUUUGUUAGAGGUUAAACCUGUGGUUAAAAGACAAAAAAGGGAUUGUGUUGAUUUGUUUUUGGGAAAUAAAGAUAGAUGUGGUUUUAAAGAAGUUGUGGAAAUAUUUAAUUCAGUACAGAAAUUUGCAGGAGGCUUAACUUACCCUGUCCUGCGGCUCAAUUUACCUCAGUAAGUUGUGCCAAAGACCACUAUUUUUGGAGAAGCUAUGUUUUCAAAGCUGUAAUGUUUACAUGAAUUAUGAUUAUUUCUGUGGACACACAACAUCCUGAAAUAUAUGUAGAUAUCUUUGUAAGAUAUAAUACUAUAUAUUUCCCUUAAUGUGUGAUUACAUUCAAGUGAUGUUGAAUGUAAAACAUGUCUCAACUUACCCCACUCUCCCCUACAACCAAGUGUAAGUUAUAUAAUAUAAUUACUAAUUAAUGUUUAUAUUUGAAUUAACACUCUUUCUUCUGUUUCUCAGCAGUGUCAUUAUUUUGUAAACUCCAUACAUCUCCGGGUCUGUUGCCCAUGUGGAACUCUCUGUCAGUCAGUCGGUCACUACUCCACUACUUCUCUCUGUGCACGCCAACGUGCACGCCAAGCCAGCGUGCACGCCAUGCCAUUCUGUCUCAGUCUGGGUCCACUGGUCACAUAAGAAUCUCUCUGUUGUUCACGGGUAAUUGUACUUUUUUUAAAAUGUAUUUAUUUAUUCAAAUUGUAUCAUUUAAAGAGCUUUGAUUCUUUAAAGAAUAAAAGCUUUUCAUGUUACUAAACUAGAAAAUCACAC
RNAcentral lists this long non-coding RNA (3659 nucleotides) under Salmo salar (Atlantic salmon). Its description in RNAcentral is "lncRNA (ENSSSAG00000010225.2)". The record is from RNAcentral. Lineage: Eukaryota; Metazoa; Chordata; Actinopteri; Salmoniformes; Salmonidae.